AGGAUUUGAUUUAAAAUUUAGAACUAAUUAGAACUUGAUUAAAAUUUGAUUUAAGAUUUUAUAAGGAUUUGUAAAAGGUUUAUUUUAGGAUUUGAUUAGGAUUUGGUUCAAGAUUUGUUUAUGAUUUAUUUAUGAUUUGGAUUAAGAUUUGCUUAUGUUUUGAUUUAGAGUUUAGAAUUUGGUUAAAAUUUAAAUAAUAUUUGAUUUAAG
This 210-nucleotide long non-coding RNA is filed under the name Physcomitrium patens. RNAcentral's name for it is "long non-coding RNA (PPAT_LNC000584)". The record is from RNAcentral. Lineage: Eukaryota; Viridiplantae; Streptophyta; Bryopsida; Funariales; Funariaceae.